RNAcentral lists this transfer RNA (58 nucleotides) under Dipodomys ordii (Ord's kangaroo rat). It matches the Rfam family "tRNA", at positions 8 to 63 of the family's 71-position model. Rfam says of the family: Transfer RNA (tRNA) molecules are approximately 80 nucleotides in length. Lineage: Eukaryota; Metazoa; Chordata; Mammalia; Rodentia; Heteromyidae. The record is from Rfam by way of RNAcentral.
UGGCUCAGUGGUAGAGUGCUUGCCUUGCAUGCAGGGGGCCCUGGGUUCGAUUCCUCAG